GGCGAACGGGUGAGUAACACGUGGGCAAUCUGCCCUUCACUCUGGGACAAGCCCUGGAAACGGGGUCUAAUACCGGAUACCACUCCUGCCUGCAUGGGCGGGGGUUGAAAGCUCCGGCGGUGAAGGAUGAGCCCGCGGCCUAUCAGCUUGUUGGUGGGGUAAUGGCCCACCAAGGCGACGACGGGUAGCCGGCCUGAGAGGGCGACCGGCCACACUGGGACUGAGACACGGCCCAGACUCCUACGGGAGGCAGCAGUGGGGAAUAUUGCACAAUGGGCGAAAGCCUGAUGCAGCGACGCCGCGUGAGGGAUGACGGCCUUCGGGUUGUAAACCUCUUUCAGCAGGGAAGAAGCGAGAGUGACGGUACCUGCAGAAGAAGCGCCGGCUAACUACGUGCCAGCAGCCGCGGUUAAUACGUAGGGCGCAAGCGUUGUCCGGAAUUAUUGGGCGUAAAAGCUCGUAGGCGGCUUGUCCCGUCGGAAUGUGAAACCCGAGGCUCA
This 500-nucleotide ribosomal RNA is filed under the name Streptomyces sp. LC-2. RNAcentral describes it as "bacterial SSU rRNA". It matches the Rfam family "Bacterial small subunit ribosomal RNA", at positions 97 to 611 of the family's 1533-position model. The record is from RNAcentral. Lineage: Bacteria; Bacillati; Actinomycetota; Actinomycetes; Kitasatosporales; Streptomycetaceae.